AGUGUGUUUCUGGUGGUCAUGAUGUCAGAAGUCUAUGGAGAUAAAGGGUUAACACGAGUCCAGUGUGUUUCUGGUGGUCAUGAUGUCAGAAGUCUAUGGAGUUAAAAGGGUUAUCACGAAUCCAGUGUGUUUCUGGUGGUCAUGAUGUCAGAAGUCUAUGGAGUUAAAAGGGUUAACACGAAUCCAGUGUGUUUCUGAUGGUCAUGAUGUCAGAAGUCUAUGGAGUUAAAAGGGUUAACACGAGUCCAGUGUGUUUCUGGUGGUCAUGAUGUCAGAAGUCUAUGGAGUUAAGAGGGUUAUCACGAAUCCAGUGUGUUUCUGGUGGUCAUGAUGUCAGAAGUCUAUGGAGUUAAAAGGGUUAUCACGAAUCCAGUGUGUUUCUGGUGGUCAUGAUGUCAGAAGUCUAUGGAGAUAAAGGGUUAUCACGAAUCCAGUGUGUUUCUGGUGGUCAUGAUGUCAGAAGUCUAUGGAGUUAAAAGAGUUAACAUGAAUCCAGUGUGUUUCUGGUCGUCAUUAUGUUUGUAUUGCUCAAAAUGUAAAUUAUGUGAAACAAAAGGUGUGUACUUCAAGAUCUAGAGUUAGUGACUUUAAUAUUAAGAUAUAUGUAAUACUUUUAACAAUGAUCCCGAGUCGUGGGGUAUGGUAUGCCACUCCUGGAUGAGCACCACCACUUCCUAGUGAUAGGUUAUCAGUUUUGAUGGGCUCUCUGUCGAUGACUAACAAUAUACAAUGGGUGACAUAGAAAUAUAGAACAGAAGACUUUUACAAACUACUGUGAUAAAUUUAUUGUUAUUUAUUUUCAUAUUAUUAUUACUGAUAGACGUUUACAUAUUAUAUAUCUGUUAAUUUUUGUUAUGUAUAUUUACAUGUACUUUGUUGUGAACAUUAUAAUGUGUGAUAAUAAAAUUAUAAUUGAAAAAUAA
Molecule: long non-coding RNA, 923 nt
Organism: Gigantopelta aegis
Lineage: Eukaryota; Metazoa; Mollusca; Gastropoda; Neomphalida; Peltospiridae
Exons: 2
Source: RefSeq, a predicted model, not a curated record